This 1257-nucleotide long non-coding RNA is filed under the name Hordeum vulgare. RNAcentral's name for it is "long non-coding RNA (HVUL_LNC007555)". The record is from RNAcentral. Lineage: Eukaryota; Viridiplantae; Streptophyta; Magnoliopsida; Poales; Poaceae.
CUCCUUGCAUCCAGAUGUGUGAAACGGACGACCUAACAUGGAAGUAAGUCGCUAUCACUGAUAGGCUGCCCGAUCGAUGGCACCGGCCCCUGGGCUUGCUGUCUAACCAUGCCCCAUGGUUGCAUGAUGACUUAUCCAAGUUGGCCACAUCCCGCAUCCGACAUGUCGCCACUGUCUCUCCUUCGUUUUUUCUUUAUAAUAUGUAGAUGGUGAAUCAUCAUUUGUGCCGCCAUUAUUUUUUUACAGUUGUUUUGUUCGUACCUUUGAAACCGACGAAGUCCAGAAUGGAACAAAUACAACAAGGAAGAUAUUUUGCUAGAGACGAAACAUGUGCACUUCAGUUCUGUUGAGAGAGAUGUAAGACGGCUACACAUUUGUUUGGGGUAACUUUCUUUUGUUAACAUGAAUUUAGUUAAUUGUUAGUAGAUAUGUUCAUAGGCUUUGAGGCCACAACUAACAGACUGAAGUCCUUGCUGAAUUAUGGAUCUUAUGGGAAGUAGCGAGAGUGUGAGACUAUGAUUUCGCCGUGGAGGCGUCACCUAACAAAUCUGCAUCCCAGGUAUAGUUUCUGAUCCUGAUGUCUUAAAAUACAUUUCUAUAGUUCUUAAUACAGUAAUACUUAACGACAUUUGUAUGGAAUGAAUGUUGUUGUGACUAAAUUCCGUGUGCAAGACCUAUCAGUUAGCAUGCUAGAAUAAAAGCUCUGAAUGAUCUAACUUCUGCAACUACCAAAUGUUGUUUCUGCACAUAGGUCAUGGAUUUCCCCUAUUGAUAUUGUACAUGCAAUUGGCUUCAAAUAUUUCAGUAAAAUCUCAUGAUGACAUCAAUAUAUAGACUUGUGCGAUAUGUGUGCAUCAAUUAUUUUGACCCAAGACAUUAUUCCAGAAAGCACAAGAUAUUACUUUAUCCAGUCUAUCCAGUCUAUUCCAGAAAGCACAAGGGCUUGUUGAUCUUUCUUUUCUAGAGUGUUUUUGUUAUGAACUCUUUCGUGAAUUUGGAGUAUCUUUUUUAUUUCUAGAACUUCUUACUGACUCUUUUCCAUUGUAUAGUAGGUUGUGAAGAAUGGGAGAUGCUGAUUUGGAAGAAGAAACAAUCAUCAAACAUGUAUAUAUAUACUGCUACUAUAGUAUUUAUACCUUGCAAGAAAAGAAAGCUGAUAAUUUCGAUGUAAACUAUGACAUUGUGGUUUACAAAUAAAUAAAAUGUUUCAUGUGUAUAUUUUCUGCACUAUGCUAAAUUCAUAUCAGAGACUUUCUA